Molecule: ribosomal RNA, 543 nt
Filed under: uncultured bacterium
Lineage: Bacteria
Description: bacterial SSU rRNA
Rfam family: Bacterial small subunit ribosomal RNA
Source: RNAcentral
UAGUCCUAGCUGUAAACGAUGAGCACUGGGUAGGGGGUCUCUGAUGGCCUCCCUGCCGAAGCUAAUGUGUUAAGUGCUCCGCCUGGGGAGUAUGGUCGCAAGGCUAAAACUCAAAGGAAUUGACGGGGGCUCACACAAGCGGUGGAGGAUGUGGUUUAAUUCGAAGCAACGCGCAGAACCUUACCCGGGUUUGAAAUGUAGGGAUUAGGCCCCUGAAAGGGGUUGACGCCGCAAGGUGGAACCUACACAGGUGUUGCAUGGCUGUCGUCAGCUCGUGUCGUGAGAUGUCGGGUUAAGUCCCUUAACGAGCGAAACCCUUGUCUUUAGUUGCCAGCGGGUAAUGCCGGGGACUCUAAAGAGACUGCCGUUGUUAAAACGGNGGAAGGUGGGGAUGACGUCAAGUCAUCAUGGCCUUUAUGUCCGGGGCUACACACGUCCCACAAUGGCCGGUACAAAGGGANCGAAACCGCGAGGUGGAGCAAAUCCCACAAAGCCGGUCUCAGUUCGGAUUGCGGGCUGAAAUUCGCCCGCAUGAAGUCGGAA